UACGGGAGGCAGCAGGGGGAAUAUUGCACAAUGGGCGAAAGCCUGAUGCAGCUAUGCCGCGUGUAUGAAGAAGGCCUUAGGGUUGUAAAGUACUUUCAUCGGGGAGGAAAAAACAAAACUAAUAAUUUUAUUUCUUGACGUUACCCGAAAAAGAAGCACCGGCUAACUCCGUGCCAGCAGCCGCGGUAAUACGGAGGGUGCUAGCGUUAAUCAGAAUUACUGGGCGUAAAGAGCACGUAGGUGGUUUUUUUAAAGUCAGAUGUGAAAUCCCUGGGCUUUAACCUAGGAACUGCAUUUUGAAACUGAAAUACUAGAGUAUCGUAGAGGGAGGUAGAAUUCUAGGUGUAGCGGUGAAAUGCGUAGAUAUCUGGAGGAAUACCUGUGGCGAAAGCGGCCUCCUAAACGAAUACUGACACUGAGGGUGCGAAAGCGUGGGGAGCAAACGAGGAUUAGAUA
RNAcentral lists this ribosomal RNA (456 nucleotides) under uncultured bacterium. RNAcentral's name for it is "bacterial SSU rRNA". It matches the Rfam family "Bacterial small subunit ribosomal RNA", at positions 340 to 784 of the family's 1533-position model. The record is from RNAcentral.